RNAcentral lists this long non-coding RNA (802 nucleotides) under Gallus gallus (chicken). RNAcentral's name for it is "lncRNA (ENSGALG00010014652.1)". Lineage: Eukaryota; Metazoa; Chordata; Aves; Galliformes; Phasianidae. The record is from RNAcentral.
CGGAGGUCUGUCCUAGCCACUUUUAAGGCUUCUGCAUGUUGUUAUCUGUUUCAGCAAUUCUCUAACUUCAAACUCAAAGAAUCCACAGAGAAAAGUGACAGUGAUAAAGGACAAGAGAUGAUUUCUCAAGUGAUGGACAAUGUAAAGCCUUGGUCUUAAGAGAUAGGCUAUUGGGCAGUUGCUGGUCCUUUAAAAAAAAAAAAAAUCACAGAAUUACACAGAAUUUCAGGGGUUGGAAGGGACAUUUGGGUAUCAUUGAGUCCAACUCCUGGAUAAAGCAGGUUCCCUACAGUAGGUUGCACAGGAAAGAAGAAGAAAAAUAAGAAGAUGAAGAAAAAGAAAGGAAAUUGAAAUAGUAUCCAAAGGCACAGUCUCAGAAUAUCGUAUGAAGAGAAAAAAUAUCUGCCCAGAUAUGAUUACUCUGGAGACAAAGGUCUAGCUUUAACAGUCACGUUUUUACUUUCUCAUCAUCCUUACAGUAAGAAAGCAAAAAAAAAAGCAGAAAAAAAGCCCAUCUUCCCUGGCAGAUUCAGACAUGAAGAAGAGUCAGUCUGUUCAAGGAUGCCACUCCAAGCACUGGGCUGUAGAGGGCAAGGGCAGCCAGGUGAAAAUGGAUCAUGUGCCAAGCGGGUUGGGCAAUGCCUCAGCAACCAUCCUGGUGUGGGUCAGGAGCAAUCCUAUGCACAGAUUUUUGGGUAUAUUACAGAGCCAGAAGUCAGUACAAGGCACAUGGGUCAGCCCAACACAGAGACUGCCAUUAAGCACUGGUGCAAAAACCAAACAGCUGAGCAUCAUACUGGAG